This 29-nucleotide non-coding RNA is filed under the name Mus musculus (house mouse). The record is from RNAcentral. Lineage: Eukaryota; Metazoa; Chordata; Mammalia; Rodentia; Muridae.
UAAAGCACAAGACCAAGGUGACUGACUGG